GAUGAACGCUGGCGGCGUGCUUAACACAUGCAAGUCGAACGGUGAAGCCGGAGCUUGCUCUGCUGGAUCAGUGGCGAACGGGUGAGUAACACGUGAGCAACCUGCCCCUGACUCUGGGAUAAGCGCUGGAAACGGCGGCUAAUACUGGAUACGAGCUGCGACGGCAUCUUCAGCAGCUGGAAAGAACUUCGGUCAGGGAUGAGCUCGCGGCCUAUCAGCUUGUUGGUGGGGUAGCGGCUCACCAAGGCGUCGACGGGUAGCCGGCCUGAGAGGGUGACCGGCCACACUGGGACUGAGACACGGCCCAGACUCCUACGGGAGGCAGCAGUGGGGAAUAUUGCACAAUGGGCGAAAGCCUGAUGCAGCAACGCCGCGUGCGGGACGACGGCCUUCGGGUUGUAAACCGCUUUUGGCAGGGAAGAAGCGAGAGUGACGGUACCUGCAGAAGAAGCGCCGGCUAACUACGUG
This 468-nucleotide ribosomal RNA is filed under the name uncultured bacterium. RNAcentral describes it as "partial 16S ribosomal RNA". It matches the Rfam family "Bacterial small subunit ribosomal RNA", at positions 28 to 507 of the family's 1533-position model. The record is from RNAcentral.